UUUUUUUUUUUUUUUUUUUUUUUACCAGUAAAAUGUUGCUCUGCAGAAGUAGUGGUCUGAUUUCUAUAAAUGUUUAAAAAAUUUAAAGUAUGGAGUGCUAAAUUAAGUUGCAUCUGGAGAGUGUUACACUCCUUACUGUCUUUUUCCUUUUUUUGUUUCACCACCUGAGCUUUGAGUGUUCUAUUAGUUCUUUCAAUUAUGGCCUGUCCUUGGGAAUUAUAGGAGAUUCAUGUUGUAUGUGUAAUUUUCCACUGAUUUAAGAAUUUUUGAAAUGUUUUACUACACUAUCCUGGCCCAUUAUCUGUUUUAAUAUUUUUUGAACUCCCAUGACAGCAAAACAAGAUAACAGAUGUCUUUUAACAUGGGAAGUACUUUCUCCCGACUGGCAGGUUGCCCAUACAAAAUGUGAAUAAGUAUCAACUGUCAAUGGACAAAUGACAAUUUUCCAAAUGAAGGUACAUGUGUGACAUCCAUUUUCCAUAACGCAUUAGGACACAGACCUCUGGGAUUAACUCCUGCCUCCUGAAUGGGCAGGUGUAGGACUUGACACUGGGUGCAACGUGGUACAAUAUUUUUUGCCUGUUUCCAUGUGAUAGCAAAUUUAUUUUUUAGUCCUAUUGCAUUUACAUGUGUCAAGGCAUGAAGUUCUUGUGCUUCUAUGAAUGCAUAUGAUUCUAGCAAGUCAGCUUGUUCAUUUGCUUUAGUUAAAGGCCCUGGUAAAUUAGUAUGUGCUCGAAUAUGAGUAAUAUGAAAUGGGAAAUUUCUUUUUCUUACAGUUUGUUGUAACAAAUUAAACAGCUGAUUUAACUGAUCAUCCAUACUAUAUUUGAUUAGGGCUGUCUCAACAUCCUUUGUAGCCUGUACUACAUAUGCAGAAUCUGAUACAAAGUUAAUAGGCUGAUUAAAAUCUUGUAACACUGAAAUGACGGGCAACCAACUCUGCUCUUUGAGCUGAGUGAUAUUGAGUUUCAAUGACUCCUUUUUUUGGCCCAGUGUAAGCGGCUUUUCCAUUGCUGGAACCAUCAGUAAACACUGUCAGAGCAUUUUUUAAAGGGUUAUGUCUGGUAAUUUUAGGUAAAAUCCAAGUAGUCAAUUUUAAAAACUGGAAGAUUUUUGUUUUUGGGUAAUGAUUAUCAAUACUUCCCACAAAAUCAGCAAGGCCAAUCUGCCAUGCAGCAGAAUUGAUAAAGGCUUGUCUAACCUGUUCCUUGUUUAAAGGAACAAUGAUUUUUAUCUGGGUCACUUCCACACAAUUUUAUUAUUCGUAAUCUUGCCUGACCAAUUAAUGUAGCCAUUUGAUCCAAGUACAAUGUAAAAGUCUUAAUCGUACUGUGAGGAAGGAAAGAUCACUCCACAAGAUCUGUAUUUUGAACAAUAAUGCCUGUUGGAGAAUGUGCAGUAGCAAAAAUCAAAAGUUGGAGUGGGGCUAAGUGAUCUAUUCUAUUUACUUGUGCUGACCGAAUUUUUUCUUCAAUUGAUUCAAUUUCUUUAGUUGCAUCUGGAGUUAAUGUUCUUUUACUAUUCAAUUCUGGAUCCCUUCUCAAGAUAGAGAACAAAUUUGACAUGGCAUAAGUAGAGAUGCCUAGAGUUGUCCGAAUCCAGGUAAUAUCUCCUAGCAAUUUUUGAAAGUCAUUUAAUGUUUUUAAU
Macaca fascicularis (crab-eating macaque) is the source of this 1647-nucleotide long non-coding RNA. NCBI's taxonomy places the organism in Eukaryota, Metazoa, Chordata, Mammalia, Primates, Cercopithecidae. The record is from Ensembl.